Saccostrea echinata is the source of this 398-nucleotide long non-coding RNA. RefSeq lists it as uncharacterized. The record is from RefSeq and is a predicted model, not a curated record. The transcript has 3 exons. NCBI's taxonomy places the organism in Eukaryota, Metazoa, Mollusca, Bivalvia, Ostreida, Ostreidae.
GAGUUUCCAGUGACUAUACCUUGGACGUUUCCAAUAAUAUCAACUUAUACCACCAUAUAUUUUCUCUCCCAUGGCAAUCCGGUGACAUCAAAAGAAUCCAUCUCGAGAGAAUGUCGAUUGCCUGGGUAUUUAUACAAAGGAACUACAAACGUAACAAAAUCGGGUUUAACAUGUCAACGAUGGGAUACACAGAGCCCACACGAACAAAACUAUUACGUUUUUAGUCUUGCACAAGAGAACUACUGUAGAAACUUUGACAGAGAAGAACCUUGGUGUUAUACGAGUAAUUCAAGUGUUCGUUGGGAACUUUGUGCCGUGGACAUUUGUAGGUCGCCUUGUCUUAACCAGUCAUUUUAUACACCACAAAUAAAAUCACAGUGUCUGUCUGCUGAACCAGC